RNAcentral lists this ribosomal RNA (703 nucleotides) under Nanosynbacter sp. RNAcentral's name for it is "Candidatus Nanosynbacter sp. partial 23S ribosomal RNA". It matches the Rfam family "Bacterial large subunit ribosomal RNA", at positions 764 to 1472 of the family's 2925-position model. The record is from RNAcentral. Lineage: Bacteria; Bacillati; Minisyncoccota; Nanosynbacteria; Nanosynbacterales; Nanosynbacteraceae.
AACUGGAGGACCGCACCGGUAAGCGUUGAAAAGCUUUCGGAUGAGCUGAGGGUAGGGGUGAAAGGCUAAUCAAACUUGGAGAUAGCUCGUACUCCCCGAAAUGCAUUUAGGUGCAGCCUGUGGAGUUUCUUACGUGAGGUAGAGCGACUGAUUGGAUGCGAGGCUUUCACCGGCUAUCAAGUCCAGACAAACUCCGAAUGCACGUUAAGUAAGAUCCACGGAGUGAGGGCAUGGGUGCUAAGGUCCAUGUCCGAGAGGAGAAGAAUCCAGACCAUCGGCUAAGGUCCCGAAAUAAUAGCUAAGUUGACCAAACGAAGUCAGAGUGCGAAGACAGCUAGGAUGUUGGCUUGGAAGCAGCCAUUCAUUUAAAGAGUGCGUAACAGCUCACUAGUCGAGUGCUUUGGCGUGGAUAAUAAUCGGGCAUAAGCUAUUUACCGAAGCUGUGGGAUGUGUAAACAUCGGUAGGGGAGCAUUCUAGCGACGCUGAAGGUGAGAGGACAACUCUUGCUGGAGUUUCUAGAAAAGCAAAUGUAGGUAUAAGUAACGAUAAAGGAGGUGAGAAACCUCCUCGCCGAAAGACUAAGGGUUCCUGAUCAACGCUAAUCGGAUCAGGGUUAGUCGGGGCCUAAGGGGAAGCCGAACGGCGCACCCGAUGGAAGAACCGGUUAAUAUUCCGGUACUAAUUAUGUGAGCGAUGUGGAGA